UUCAAGUGAGUCUUUGGCCACUUACAGCUCUAUUUCUACUUUUCACUAUUUGUUGAAAACUCGGAAUUUACUUCGAGCUAUAACUUGUUGAAAAAUUUUCUUCAUAAAUGGCAUCCAAACAAGAAAAACAAGAACAAAAGUCUGGGACUAAAGAUAGGUCCACACCAUAUUCGGAGUAUGAAGACCCAAGUCAGUUGAAAGGCAAAGCAAGUAAUUCUAAACCAGACGAUCAGAACAGACAGGCCCAGUAUGUACCAGAAAAAAGAAAUGAUUACGAAGACAGAGAUUUCAGUACAAUUAACAUUGUGCAGCUUACUUCGUACGAAGACUUUUC
Molecule: non-coding RNA, 334 nt
Organism: Styela clava
Lineage: Eukaryota; Metazoa; Chordata; Ascidiacea; Stolidobranchia; Styelidae
Source: RefSeq, a predicted model, not a curated record